Molecule: ribosomal RNA, 875 nt
Filed under: Hypocreales sp. LM478
Lineage: Eukaryota; Fungi; Ascomycota; Sordariomycetes; Hypocreales
Description: bacterial SSU rRNA
Rfam family: Eukaryotic small subunit ribosomal RNA
Source: RNAcentral
AAGCCAUGCAUGUCUAAGUAUAAGCAAUUAUACAGCGAAACUGCGAAUGGCUCAUUAUAUAAGUUAUCGUUUAUUUGAUAGUACCUUACUACUUGGAUAACCGUGGUAAUUCUAGAGCUAAUACAUGCUAAAAAUCCCGACUUCGGAAGGGAUGUAUUUAUUAGAUUAAAAACCAAUGCCCUUCGGGGCUCCUUGGUGAUUCAUGAUAACUUCUCGAAUCGCAUGGCCUUGCGCCGGCGAUGGUUCAUUCAAAUUUCUUCCCUAUCAACUUUCGAUGUUUGGGUAUUGGCCAAACAUGGUUGCAACGGGUAACGGAGGGUUAGGGCUCGACCCCGGAGAAGGAGCCUGAGAAACGGCUACUACAUCCAAGGAAGGCAGCAGGCGCGCAAAUUACCCAAUCCCGACACGGGGAGGUAGUGACAAUAAAUACUGAUACAGGGCUCUUUUGGGUCUUGUAAUUGGAAUGAGUACAAUUUAAAUCCCUUAACGAGGAACAAUUGGAGGGCAAGUCUGGUGCCAGCAGCCGCGGUAAUUCCAGCUCCAAUAGCGUAUAUUAAAGUUGUUGUGGUUAAAAAGCUCGUAGUUGAACCUUGGGCCUGGGCUGGCCGGUCCGCCUCACCGCGUGUACUGGUCCGGCCGGGCCUUUCCCUCUGUGGAACCCCAUGCCCUUCACUGGGUGUGGCGGGGAAACAGGACUUUUACUUUGAAAAAAUUAAAAGUGCUCCAGGCAGGGCCUAUGCUCCGAAAUACCAUUUAGCCAUGGGAAUAAAUUAGAAUAGGGACGUGGGGGGGUCCUAAUUUUUGGGUGGGGGUUUCCAAGGGAACCCCCCCGUAAAUGGAAUUUAAUAAGGGGACAGGUCCGGGGGGGCCAUCCA